Molecule: long non-coding RNA, 764 nt
Organism: Myotis davidii
Lineage: Eukaryota; Metazoa; Chordata; Mammalia; Chiroptera; Vespertilionidae
Exons: 3
Source: RefSeq, a predicted model, not a curated record
UUAACACAGAUGCAUAAAAGCAGGGGGCAGGGGUGUUCAUGCCAGUUAGCGAAGUAGGUGAGACCUUGUGUGUAAGACACAUGGUUUGUGCUCACUCAGUGCGUCAGAGAGAGAAAAAUAAGCGCCUGUUUUUUUCCUUAGCUUUCGUCUCCAUGAGGACAAGAACCGUGUCUGAUGCUCACGGCUGUAUCCCUUGUGCCUGAGUAAAACAUGGGCCAGCUGAAUCACACUCAAGGCUCUGACGAGCUAUUUGGGGACCCCAUUUGUGAUGCAGUGCCAAAUUGCAGAGCAAAUGGCCAGGAAUAUGGAUGGGGUUCUGGCCACAUAGGCUGCCCACGCCUUCCCCUACGCAGCUUCUCCAUGAGAAACCAGCAACGAAAGAGAACAGUUCCUGCCAACAGUUUCUAAGAGUUAUUUCGCACAUGCCUCAACUCCCACUGGCAAGGGUGUUGUGUUGUUUUGUUUUGCGGACUAGAAAGAAUUCCUUAACAGGUUGGGCCUGUGAAAUUAGAGUUGCUUCCUUAAAGGAUUAAAUUCCCAAAUACUCAUGAACAUGAAGGCACACGAUAAUGAAAUUCUUGUUUUUCAUUAAAAGAGAAUUAAACCAAUGACCUUUUACAUAAAUUUUUGCCUUUUGUCUUCCGACUGAUUUUGGUGUUAGUUCAUUAUAUUAUUUAAGUUCUUGGAUCUUUAGGUAUUUAAUGUGGAUGAUGCUUUAUAGACACCAAAGGCUGUAUGCCUGAAUUCUUUCCAUUCUAUAUAAC